CCCUUAGAUGUUCUGGGCCGCACGCGCGCUACACUGAUGCAUUCAACGAGUCUAAAACCUGCUCUGAUAGGGGUGGGUAAUCUUUUGAGUGUGCAUCGUGAUUGGGAUAGAUGAUUGCAAUUUUUCAUCUUCAACGAGGAAUGCCUAGUAAACGCAAGUCAUCAGCUUGCAUUGAUUACGUCCCUGCCCUUUGUACACACCGCCCGUCGCUCCUACCGAUUGAAUGAUCCGAUGAAUAUCAUGGAUUGAGGAUGCAAGCAGGUUCGCCUGUCUUCAUCUUCGAGAAGUGAAGUAAAUCUUAUCAUUUAGAGGAAGGAGAAGUCGUAACA
This 329-nucleotide ribosomal RNA is filed under the name uncultured eukaryote. Its description in RNAcentral is "partial 18S ribosomal RNA". It matches the Rfam family "Eukaryotic small subunit ribosomal RNA", at positions 1470 to 1796 of the family's 1831-position model. The record is from RNAcentral.